Molecule: ribosomal RNA, 500 nt
Filed under: Branchiostoma lanceolatum (amphioxus)
Lineage: Eukaryota; Metazoa; Chordata; Leptocardii; Amphioxiformes; Branchiostomatidae
Description: partial large subunit ribosomal RNA
Rfam family: Archaeal large subunit ribosomal RNA
Source: RNAcentral
UUAGAGGUCUGGUCUGCCCAGUGUAAAAAAUUAACGGCCGCGGUAUCCUGACUGUGCAAAGGUAGCAUAAUCACUUGCCCUUUAAAUGGGGGAAUGUAUGAAUGAUUAGACGAGGUUUUGACUGUCUUUUUUCUAAAAACUGAGAUUUCAGUACCUGUGAAAAUGCGGGUGAAAUCAUAAUGGACGAGAAGACCCUGUUGAGCUUUUAAGUUAUACAGCAGUAUGAAUUAAAUUAGAUAAUUCAUUAUUUAUAAAAUACACAUAUCUGGUAAGCUUUUUGGCUGGGGUGGCAAGCAAAGGAAUUAAGCUUUGUUUAUCAAUUGAAAUCUUAAUGUUUGGAGACAGUAUAUGUCAAUAAACUUAAUUUGGAUCCGCUAACUGAGCGAUUAAUAGAAUAAGUUACCACAGGGAUAACAGCGUUAUUCUUCUUGAGAGCUCGUAUUGACAGAGGAGUUUGCGACCUCGAUGUUGGAUCAAGAUUCCUGGUGGUGUAGCAGUCU